UGGGCCGCUUACUCUUAAUCAUCUUCACACAGAUAUUCACACAGAAACCCUAACUGGCAGGGCACCAUCAGGUCUCUCGGUUGUAACAUUUCAUCACAAGAGCACAUCUUCAUCAUAAGCUUUUCACUCUCGCUUGAGAAUUUUUAAGCCGAAGCUUAAGGAGGUCCGAAUCGUGUUCGCGUUGCUUCGAUCGACUUUUCCUCAGGUCGUCUUCCAUCAACUUAUUGCUUCGAAGUUGUUGUCGGGGUGGAUGGCUUGCUUUACAGGAGUGUUGAGGCAGUGUGACAUUGUUAUAAGGUGAAGAAGAGCAGAGAGCAAUGAGUGUUCGGUCCAAAAACUUGAGCUCAGUAUUCUAUGCAGUUUCGUACCAUCCCAUUCAAGCUGACAGCAUCGACGACAUGGAUGUUGUUCCUCACGACAAUGUUGUUUAUCGUGCUUAACUUUGUUCCUCUAUUGGCCUCUAUCUGUUUUUCUUUUUCCUUCACUUUUUAAUAAAUUAUUACAAUUUUGGUUCCUUUCUAAC
Non-coding RNA from Vigna umbellata (rice bean), 523 nucleotides. The record is from RefSeq and is a predicted model, not a curated record. Lineage: Eukaryota; Viridiplantae; Streptophyta; Magnoliopsida; Fabales; Fabaceae.